Molecule: ribosomal RNA, 452 nt
Filed under: Theileria cf. mutans 1
Lineage: Eukaryota; Apicomplexa; Aconoidasida; Piroplasmida; Theileriidae
Description: SSU rRNA
Rfam family: Eukaryotic small subunit ribosomal RNA
Source: RNAcentral
CGGGGCUCAACGCCUUGUAAUUGGAAUGAUGGGAAUCUAAACCCCUUCCAGAGUAUCAAUUGGAGGGCAAGUCUGGUGCCAGCAGCCGCGGUAAUUCCAGCUCCAAUAGCGUAUAUUAAAAUUGUUGCAGUUAAAAAGCUCGUAGUUGAAUUUCUGCUGCAUCGCCACGGCCCCACGGGCCCAGCGUUGCGGCUUAUUUCGGACUCGCUUGCGAUGCCGAUUGUUUACUUUGAGAAAAUUAGAGUGCUCAAAGCAGGCCCUUGCCUGAAUACUUUAGCAUGGAAUAAUAAAGUAGGACUUUGGUUCUAUUUUGUUGGUUUAGCGCCAAAGUAAUGGUUAAUAGGAACAGUUGGGGGCAUUCGUAUUUAACUGUCAGAGGUGAAAUUCUUAGAUUUGUUAAAGACGAACCACUGCGAAAGCAUUUGCCAAGGAUGUUUUCAUUAAUCAAGAAC